GGAGGAAAAGAAACCAACAGGGAUUGCCUCAGUAACGGCGAGUGAAGCGGCAAAAGCUCAAAUUUGAAAUCUAGCACCUUCGGUGUUCGAGUUGUAAUUUGAAGAUGGUAACCUUGGGUUUGGCUCUUGUCUAUGUUCCUUGGAACAGGACGUCAUAGAGGGUGAGAAUCCCGUCUGAUGAGAUGCCCAUUCCUAUGUAAGGUGCUAUCGAAGAGUCGAGUUGUUUGGGAAUGCAGCUCUAAGUGGGUGGUAAAUUCCAUCUAAAGCUAAAUAUUGGCGAGAGACCGAUAGCGAACAAGUACAGUGAUGGAAAGAUGAAAAGAACUUUGAAAAGAGAGUGAAAAAGUACGUGAAAUUGUUGAAAGGGAAGGGCAUUAGAUCAGACUUGGUGUUUUACGAUUAUCUUCUCUUCUUGAGUUGUGCACUCGUAUUUCACUGGGCCAGCAUCGAUUCGGAUGGCAAGAUAAUGGCAGUUGAAUGUGGCUUCACUUCGGUGGAGUGUUAUAGCUUCUGCUGAUAUUGCCUGUCUGGAUCGAGGGCUGCGUCUUUUGACUAGGAUGCUGGCGUAAUGAUCUAAUGCCGCCCGUCUUGAACCACCGGACCA
Molecule: ribosomal RNA, 604 nt
Filed under: Hansenula anomala
Lineage: Eukaryota; Fungi; Ascomycota; Saccharomycetes; Phaffomycetales; Wickerhamomycetaceae
Description: eukaryotic LSU rRNA
Rfam family: Eukaryotic large subunit ribosomal RNA
Source: RNAcentral